CAGGUCAGGCGGGGCUACCCGCUGAGUUUAAGCAUAUCAAUAAGCGGAGGA
This 51-nucleotide ribosomal RNA is filed under the name Pityrocarpa brenanii. RNAcentral's name for it is "Pseudopiptadenia brenanii partial 28S ribosomal RNA". The record is from RNAcentral. Lineage: Eukaryota; Viridiplantae; Streptophyta; Magnoliopsida; Fabales; Fabaceae.